GAUGAACGCUAGCUACAGGCUUAACACAUGCAAGUCGAGGGGCAGCAUUUUAGUUUGCUUGCAAACUAAAGAUGGCGACCGGCGCACGGGUGAGUAACACGUAUCCAACCUGCCGAUAACUCGGGGAUAGCCUUUCGAAAGAAAGAUUAAUAUCCGAUAGUAUAUUAAAACCGCAUGGUUUUACUAUUAAAGAAUUUCGGUUAUCGAUGGGGAUGCGUUCCAUUAGUUUGUUGGCGGGGUAACGGCCCACCAAGACUACGAUGGAUAGGGGUUCUGAGAGGAAGGUCCCCCACAUUGGAACUGAGACACGGUCCAAACUCCUACGGGAGGCAGCAGUGAGGAAUAUUGGUCAAUGGACGAGAGUCUGAACCAGCCAAGUAGCGUGAAGGAUGACUGCCCUAUGGGUUGUAAACUUCUUUUAUAUGGGAAUAAAGUAUUCCACGUGUGGAAUUUUGUAUGUACCAUAUGAAUAAGGAUCGGCUAACUCCGUGCCAGCAGCCGCGGUAAUACGGAGGAUCCGAGCGUUAUCCGGAUUUAUUGGGUUUAAAGGGAGCGUAGGUGGAUUGUUAAGUCAGUUGUGAAAGUUUGCGGCUCAACCGUAAAAUUGCAGUUGAAACUGGCAGUCUUGAGUACAGUAGAGGUGGGCGGAAUUCGUGGUGUAGCGGUGAAAUGCUUAGAUAUCACGAAGAACUCCGAUUGCGAAGGCAGCUCACUAGACUGCAACUGACACUGAUGCUCGAAAGUGUGGGUAUCAAACAGGAUUAGAUACCCUGGUAGUCCACACAGUAAACGAUGAAUACUCGCUGUUUGCGAUAUACAGUAAGCGGCCAAGCGAAAGCAUUAAGUAUUCCACCUGGGGAGUACGCCGGCAACGGUGAAACUCAAAGGAAUUGACGGGGGCCCGCACAAGCGGAGGAACAUGUGGUUUAAUUCGAUGAUACGCGAGGAACCUUACCCGGGCUUAAAUUGCAUUUGAAUAAUCUGGAAACAGGUUAGCCGCAAGGCAAAUGUGAAGGUGCUGCAUGGUUGUCGUCAGCUCGUGCCGUGAGGUGUCGGCUUAAGUGCCAUAACGAGCGCAACCCUUAUCUUUAGUUACUAACAGGUUAUGCUGAGGACUCUAGAGAGACUGCCGUCGUAAGAUGUGAGGAAGGUGGGGAUGACGUCAAAUCAGCACGGCCCUUACGUCCGGGGCUACACACGUGUUACAAUGGGGGGUACAGAAGGCAGCUACCUGGCGACAGGAUGCUAAUCCCAAAAACCUCUCUCAGUUCGGAUCGAAGUCUGCAACCCGACUUCGUGAAGCUGGAUUCGCUAGUAAUCGCGCAUCAGCCAUGGCGCGGUGAAUACGUUCCCGGGCCUUGUACACACCGCCCGUCAAGCCAUGAAAGCCGGGGGUACCUGAAGUACGUAACCGCAAGGAGCGUCCUAGGGUAAAACUGGUAAUUGGGGCU
Molecule: ribosomal RNA, 1451 nt
Filed under: uncultured Bacteroides sp.
Lineage: Bacteria; Pseudomonadati; Bacteroidota; Bacteroidia; Bacteroidales; Bacteroidaceae
Description: bacterial SSU rRNA
Rfam family: Bacterial small subunit ribosomal RNA
Source: RNAcentral